GUGAACGCUGGCGGUAGGCCUAACACCUGCAAGUCGAACGGCAGCACCGUAAGAGCUUGCUCUUACGGGUGGCGAGUGGCGGACGGGUGAGGAAUACAUCGGAAUCUACUUUUUCGUGGGGGAUAACGUAGGGAAACUUACGCUAAUACCGCAUACGACCUACGGGUGAAAGCAGGGGAUCUUCGGACCUUGCGCGAUUGAAUGAGCCGAUGUCGGAUUAGCUAGUUGGCGGGGUAAAUGCCCACCAAGGCGACGAUCCGUAGCUGGUCUGAGAGGAUGAUCAGCCACACUGGAACUGAGACACGGUCCAGACUCCUACGGGAGGCAGCAGUGGGGAAUAUUGGACAAUGGGCGCAAGCCUGAUCCAGCCAUACCGCGUGGGUGAAGAAGGCCUUCGGGUUGUAAAGCCCUUUUGUUGGGAAAGAAAAGCAGCAGGUUAAUACCCCGCUGUUCUGACGGUACCCAAAGAAUAAGCACCGGCUAACUUCGUG
This 491-nucleotide ribosomal RNA is filed under the name uncultured bacterium. Its description in RNAcentral is "partial 16S ribosomal RNA". It matches the Rfam family "Bacterial small subunit ribosomal RNA", at positions 29 to 507 of the family's 1533-position model. The record is from RNAcentral.